GCAAACAUACUGCAAAUUUAAGAAAUCGUGUGACUAAACUAAAAAAAGAAACUACACUAUGAAACAAAGAUACAGCACACCCUGCGUGCUACUGCAGCAUUCUGUGGCACGUCAUUUAAUUCUCAGCUAUUUCUUCUGCUACUGCAAGUUAUUGCUAGUUUGACCACCAGAGGGCAUCUUUGAGAAGCAUUUGAUAGUAUUCCAUAUUGGCAUUACCAGAGAAUUUAAACUUUUGUAAUAACAUAGUAUAUGGGAUUCAUUUUAAGAAAUUUGGCUUAAUUAAUUUGAUUAAUAUGAUGGUGUUUCCAUUCAUAGCCGGUUUGUAAAUUCAGACCGUUUCGCUCUCGGAGCGCACACUGGAUGUUCGGGCCGAGGAGUAGGGUUGAUUUGAGUGUUCUGGCCUUACAACGGCAGUCAAGCACCCAAGCUAACGUUGGCUAGCUACUUCCAGACAGAAAUUAGCCUACCCUGACCAUUUUAAUCGCCAUAGCAGAGCUGGUAAGACAGUUUUUGUGUUAACCAGAGCGUUGGUGACUGUAAAUGUGCUGCUGGAAACAAUUUAAUUAUGCUUUUUUUCAACGUUUACUGACACCGGCCAUAUUCAAAGGGUGUUGAGCGCUCGUAAAGUAAUUAUUCUGUGCUCUGGUACACUCAGACGAGAGUGCUCUGAAAUCCAUGUGGAUAGAAGGCUGGACACAAUUUUUAACGUUAUUUUCUGAUAAAAACUAGUUAAUUGCAUCUGCCGUGGAGCCCAGUUUCAUAAUAUGACCAUAUUUCCCAGCUGCUUGCCAUCAUUUUGAAGUCAUCGCGGACAAACUAGCCUUUAGGGCAUUUUUCACCCUGCCAUCUCCCAUUAUUUCUAUUAGCACCGUGGCACCAACUCGCCUUCCGAGCGUUCUAUUCUCAGCUUAUUGUUCAACGUCACAAUGCCUGCUUUGCUAUUGUUGGCAAUAAGACCUGCUCAUGUCGUUUUAUAGUUCAAAUAACAAAAUGUAAACAACAAAAAUAAUAUUGGAACUCUGAGGUCUUCCCAUGGUUUCCUAUAGGGGAAACAUAGACAUGUCUGUCUGUCUAUUUUGCCAAAUAUCUCGCAAUGUGUAUAUUUAUAUUUUUUUCAAGUCGGGUGUACCCGGUGAGAAAUGGCUAGCUAGUUAGCUGGGUGUGCGCUAAUAGCGUUUCAGUCGGUGACGUCACUCGCUCUGAGACCUGGAAGUAGUUGUUCACCUUGCUUUGCAUGGGCUGCUGUUCUUGUGGAGCGAUGGGUAACGAUGCUUCGAGGGUGGCUGUUGUCUAUGUGUGCAAAGGGUCCCUGGUUCGAGCCCAAUUAGGGGCGAGGAGAGGGACGGAAGCAAAACUAUUACACGGGAACCAUUUUAAUCAGGAGAAUAUCCUCUUUGUAAUUAUGUAAGUCUGGGCAGCGAGCUCGUUUGUCAUCAAUCGCUAGUCCAGAAAUAGUCCGUUUUUAUUUUUCCCCUACUUUUUCAUUAAGCAGACAUAAGCACAGUUGACACCAUCGAGGUGCGGAUGUUUACUUUCCCCACUAGUUGUUUUUUUACAGUUUCGUCCAACGAACAUAUUAUAUUGUAUUGGUCAAAUAAAAAGGGAAACAUUUUUAAUGGACUCCUAAGGAUCACUCUAGUCAAAACUGGCUCUGCGAACAUUCGAUUCCAUUAAUUUUCUCUGAAGCCGUUUCUCAGCCUUAUACUCACUCGUUCUAUUGUCCAGCCUAUAGAUAGCCAGAGCAAAUUUACGAAAGCACCCGAAUGUCCAUUGAGAAAGCACAAUGACUAUACCAUUUAGCUAAACUAAGAAUGAUGAGAAUAAUCAAGUCAAUAAACAUUGGGUAGAUAGCCAAUAGUUAAUAUACUGUCAAGUUUGAUGUAUAACUACUAGCGUUAGGUAGCUAGCUAACAUACCGGUACAUACUUCUGUAAUGAUAUGCUAUGUGGUUCGUAAGGACAGCGUGGCUAACAAAUUGUCAGCCAACAUAACGUGUAAGGUAACUUAUUUGAAAGUCAUUACAUUGAGUUGCUAGCUACCCCUUGGUCAUUAGGGCAAAUCUGGUCUGUGAUAGGAGUGGGGGUUUUCACACCUCGCUCGACCAUUAGACUAUUCUUUAGUAAAGGUUGAAUAGUCUAUUGUUCAGCUAUUAGCCCUCCUCCCUAAACUUGCAACACAUUGCUGUUCCCAUCUCAUUCCUUUCCCUCUUCCACGCAUCAUCAUUCUGCUCCUGAGUGUCUCGCUUGUGGGCAUGCUGGCAGGAUAUGGCAGCAUCUUUGGUUGUGCGUCAAGAAUGCUGCAUACAGUAGCACGUUUGUAUGAAGGUGUGGUUAUUCACAGGCAAAUUGUUAUAUGCUAUGUAGGUAUAUUUGUCUCUUUGUCAAGAGCAAAACCUUUUUUAUUUUCAUACAAAAAUAAUUGUUCUGAAAACAACUUUUUUCCGACACAACGGAAGUCAAAGCGGACGCCUACGAAGAUGGCAUCUCAGGUAAGCAGCACUGGGCUGUAUUGACGUAUCCUAAAAAUGACAUCUGCUGCUUUAGAUUGAACGGUCAUAUCUCAGUUAUUGUUUUUACAUCUAUAAAAAAAUAUCUGUUUUCUUCACUUUCAGAGAGCGAGCUGACCAAGGGGUCGAAAAUGUAGAUAUGGUCAGGUGUUCACUGUUCGAGGAACAGGCUGUGGAAGCUUUAUUGAUGGCAAAAGUGUCCAUAACCAGAGGUUAUAUCAACUGUUUUGGUGAACCCCUCCCUCAUCUGAACUGGCUGACACAGAGGGCAGAGCAUGAUCAUAGGUAUGUUUUGAUGUGCGAGAGGAAGCCAGUCCUGUCAUCGCCAUUUCACCCGCUCUGACGAUAACCUUUGGGCCAACUGGGGGCCCACGGCUCCUUAGGAGACACCGCAAUUGUGAUGAACUGAGUGAAUAUUAUCAUUCAAAUAAUGGAGUUUGAUAUGACAGAAAAAGAAAGUCUCAGAGAUUCAUAUCUGAACCGCACCUUUAUUUUCCAAGGAAGAGUACAUGAUCAGUGAAUAUACUCAAUGUAGAGGCUACAAUGUGGGAAUCUCAUGCGUGGUAAUAACUAUAGUAUGUGUGUAUUUUGGACUUGCUUAC
Oncorhynchus keta (chum salmon) is the source of this 3108-nucleotide long non-coding RNA. RefSeq lists it as uncharacterized. NCBI's taxonomy places the organism in Eukaryota, Metazoa, Chordata, Actinopteri, Salmoniformes, Salmonidae. The record is from RefSeq and is a predicted model, not a curated record. The transcript is spliced from 3 exons.